UGAAUACGAGACGCUAAGGCGUUGAAGUAGUGUAUGUCAUACUUCCAAGAAAAGCUUGCACUGUCAUAGAUAAAAAACGCCUGUACCAUAACCGACACAGGUGGGUAGGUAGAGUAUACUAAGGGGCGCGAGAUAACUCUCUCUAAGGAACUCGGCAAAAUAACUCCGUAACUUCGGGAGAAGGAGUGCCUUAUUCGUAAGGUUGCAAUAACAAGAUCCAAGCAACUGUUUAUCAAAAACACAGGUCUCCGCUAAGUCGUAAGACGAUGUAUGGGGGCUGACGCCUGCCCAGUGCCAGAAGGUUAAAGAAGUUGGUUAGCAAUUGCGAAGCUGAUAACUGAAGCCCUGGUGAACGGCGGCCGUAACCAUAACGGUCCUAAGGUAGCGAAAUUCCUUGUCGGGUAAGUUCCGACCCGCACGAAAGGCGUAAUGAUUUGGAUACUGUCUCGGAGAGGGGCUCGGUGAAAUAGACUUGUCUGUGAAGAUGCGGACUACCUGCACCAGGACAGAAAGACCCUAUGAAGCUUUACUGUAACUUGAAAUUGAAAUUGGACUUUAUUCGCGCAGUAUAGGUGGGAGGCGUUGAUUAUAAUCUUGUGGGAUUAUUGGAGCCAUCAGUGAGAUACCACUCUUGUAAUGUUAGAUUUCUAACUUUGAAUCAUUAUCUGGUCAAAGAACAGUUUCAGGCGGGCAGUUUGACUGGGGCGGUCGCCUCCUAAACGGUAACGGAGGCGUACAAAGGUUUCCUCUGAACGGUUAGAAAUCGUAUCUAGAGUGUAAAGGCAUAAGGAAGCUUGACUGUGAGACCUACAAGUCGAGCAGGGACGAAAGUCGGUCUUAGUGAUCUGACGGUACUGAGUGGAAAGGCCGUCACUCAACGGAUAAAGGUUACUCUAGGAUAACAGGCUGAUCUCCCCCAAGAGUUCACAUCGACGGGGAGGUUUGGCACCUCGAUGUCGGCUCAUCGCAUCCUGGGGCGGUAGUACGUCCCAAGGGUUGGGCUGUUCGCCCAUGAAAGCGGUACGCGAGCUGGGUUCAGAACGUCGUGAGACAGUUCGGUCCAUAUCCGGUGUAGGCGUUAGAAUAUUGAGAGGAGCCUUCUUUAGUACGAGAGGACCGAGAAGGACAUACCUCUGGUGUACCAGUUAUCGUGCCAACGGUAAACGCUGGGUAGCUAUGUAUGGAGUGGAUAACCACUGAAAGCAUCUAAGUGGGAAGCCCACCUCAAGAUAAG
This 1234-nucleotide ribosomal RNA is filed under the name metagenome. Its description in RNAcentral is "bacterial LSU rRNA". It matches the Rfam family "Bacterial large subunit ribosomal RNA", at positions 1564 to 2808 of the family's 2925-position model. The record is from RNAcentral.